Long non-coding RNA from Dreissena polymorpha, 844 nucleotides. RefSeq lists it as uncharacterized. The record is from RefSeq and is a predicted model, not a curated record. The transcript has 2 exons. NCBI's taxonomy places the organism in Eukaryota, Metazoa, Mollusca, Bivalvia, Myida, Dreissenidae.
CGCAUAUCUUAUUAUUCUAUAAACAUACCUAUUUUACCUCAUUAGAAUAGCUCACUGUUCAUUAACCACCGGGUCAUAAUCUUAUAUGUAAAGCUCUCCUUGAAAACUUCGCACGAUAGAGUCUUCAGAUAAAUCCGAUCAAGAAGGAAGUUAUCUCUGAUAAAAAGCAUCAUGUAACUUUAAUAUGCGUUGUGUUCAGUUUUGGUAACAGUUUUGGGUUAAUGUUCUGAUACUGAUUUAUAUUUAGCUGACUUCCUCAUUUAUUACUAAUUGCUGGGUUAUUAGUUGUCCUGUAUAACCAACAUUCUGUUUCAAACAUAGCUUACGGAAUUUAGUCUGAAAAGGGACAAGAAGUUAUAAAUCAGGCAAGAAGGGGAACUAAACCUUAACACGUUUCUCCGUCAAUCGAUUCAUUGUUCUACCGACUGAAGCACUUCGACAGAUUUGCUGCGCUGUUCUUGUUAAAGAAGAGCAAGUCGAGUUAGAAACCAAUGACCCACUCGGGUGAGGACUCAAGAUUGAGUAUUCUGCGGGAAUGCUGGAAGAUUCAAGUGGCUGGCGUGGAGAGUCCUGCGAUUCGCGCCUGUCCGGGAUGUUGGAUUUUAAUUGAGCACAACGAAGGAUGCAAUCAGAUGACUUGCCGUUGCGGUCAAAAGUUUUGUUUUUUGUGUUUAAAGACAGCAAACAGCAAUGGGGCGUACCAAUGUGUUCCUGUGGAUUCCAAAUGCCCUGUUGCUCCAGUCCAGACUCAGUUGCCGAGUACGUAAAAUAACUAACUGUAUAAUAUUGUAGAUGUCGCGGUUAAGCAUUAGUUCGUAAGUAAAAAUUAACCGAUUUGAUCAAA